AGGGUUUGAUCAUGGCUCAGGAUGAACGCUGGCGGCGUGCUUAACACAUGCAAGUCGAACGAACCUUCGGGUUAGUGGCGGACGGGUGAGUAACGCGUGAGAAUCUGCCCUCAGGAGGGGGAUAACGGUUGGAAACGACCGCUAAUACCCCAUAUGCCUACGGGUGAAAUGAAUUUCGCCUGAGGAUGAGCUCGCGUCUGAUUAGCUAGUUGGUGAGGUAAUGGCUCACCAAGGCUUCGAUCAGUAGCUGGUCUGAGAGGAUGAUCAGCCACACUGGGACUGAGACACGGCCCAGACUCCUACGGGAGGCAGCAGUGGGGAAUUUUCCGCAAUGGGCGAAAGCCUGACGGAGCAACGCCGCGUGAGGGACGAAGGCCUCUGGGCUGUAAACCUCUUUUCUCAAGGAAGAAGAUAUGACGGUACUUGAGGAAUAAGCCACGGCUAAUUCCGUGCCAGCAGCCGCGGUAAUACGGGAGUGGCAAGCGUUAUCCGGAAUUAUUGGGCGUAAAGCGUCCGCAGGCGGCUUUUCAAGUCUGCUGUUAAAACGUGGAGCUUAACUCCAUCAUGGCAGUGGAAACUGAAAGGCUUGAGUAUGGUAGGGGCAGAGGGAAUUCCCGGUGUAGCGGUGAAAUGCGUAGAUAUCGGGAAGAACACCAGUGGCGAAGGCGCUCUGCUGGGCCAUUACUGACGCUCAUGGACGAAAGCCAGGGGAGCGAAAGGGAUUAGAUACCCCUGUAGUCCUGGCCGUAAACGAUGAACACUAGGUGUCGGGGGAAUCGACCCCUUCGGUGUCGUAGCUAACGCGUUAAGUGUUCCGCCUGGGGAGUACGCACGCAAGUGUGAAACUCAAAGGAAUUGACGGGGGCCCGCACAAGCGGUGGAGUAUGUGGUUUAAUUCGAUGCAACGCGAAGAACCUUACCAGGGUUUGACAUCCUGCGAACCUCUUAGAAAUUUGAGGGUGCCUUCGGGAAUGCAGUGACAGGUGGUGCAUGGCUGUCGUCAGCUCGUGUCGUGAGAUGUUGGGUUAAGUCCCGCAACGAGCGCAACCCACGUUUUUAGUUGCCAGCAUUUAGUUGGGCACUCUAGAAAGACCGCCGGUGAUAAACCGGAGGAAGGUGUGGAUGACGUCAAGUCAUCAUGCCCCUUACACCCUGGGCUACACACGUACUACAAUGCUACGGACAAAGGGCAGCAAACUCGCGAGAGCUAGCAAAUCCCAUAAACCGUGGCUCAGUUCAGAUCGUAGGCUGCAACUCGCCUACGUGAAGUAGGAAUCGCUAGUAAUCGCAGGUCAGCAUACUGCGGUGAAUACGUUCCCGGGCCUUGUACACACCGCCCGUCACACCAUGGAAGUUGGCCAUGCCCGAAGUCGUUACUCCAACCCUUGUGGAGGAGGACGCCGAAGGUGGGGCUAAUGACUGGGGUGAAGUCAUAACAAGGUAGCCGUA
This 1449-nucleotide ribosomal RNA is filed under the name uncultured bacterium. RNAcentral's name for it is "bacterial SSU rRNA". It matches the Rfam family "Bacterial small subunit ribosomal RNA". The record is from RNAcentral.